AUGGAAUACUAUUUGGAUAUAACCAGUUCUUCUCUCCUGGUUUUAGUCAGAACUUUUGAAGCAUGUCGUGAAGAUAAUGUUUUUGAAGAACAAAUUGAAAAAUGGAAGAAACUGGUUUUUAUUAUUCGCAUUAUUAUUGGAUUUUUGUCGAAUUUUAUAAUUCUUACAACUAUAUGUGUUAUUAAUGCAGAUAACUUCAUAAAGGGCGUGGCAGCUAUAGUUCUAUUUUCUGUUAUCCUUGUGCAUAUGUUGCUGUUAUAUGGUACCGAAACUUACUUAUGCUACAGUUUAAAGGAGUAUUCUGACAUCGACGCAACUGUCAUCGAGUUUAUACUUGUUUACCGAGUACAAGAAACUGUUUUUGAUAUUUUGAUAAUUUUUUAUAGUCUCGUUUUAUCUGAAUGGAGUAUGACAGAGUUAACGACAACUUUGAUUGUACUCAUGUGUACUGAUAUUGUUUCAAAUAUUGUUCAAUACGGGAAAAACUUGUAUGAUGCAGUUAUGAUGAUGGAGGAAGAUGAAGAUGUAGAUGAAAACAAUGGCCAGUGUGCAUGCUUAUUACUGUUUUCAUUUUGUCCAUUUUGUGUAAUUUGUUUGAUGCAAUGAUAAUUGAUAGUAAUUAUAAAAAUUAAUUUCCAUACUUUUCGAACCAACCAAGAUGUCUAACAUUAACAUAAUUAAUAUUUACUACACCUACAGAAAUAACAUUUUUGAUUUAUUGAUGUUUGAUUGCAUAAAGAAGAGUGGCAAACACAGCUUACUUAUAAUUAAAGGACGAUAAAAAGUCGACAAUACAUUCAAAAGGUAACUUUUGCAGUGCUGUCUAAUCAUUAUGAAGGACGAUCGGUUUUGAAGCCACUACAAAAAGAAUGACUGUAGGAUAUAAAAUGGGCAUAUUUUUUAUUGCAAUAUAAUGUCUACAGAUGUUGCAAGUAAAAAUGCUGAUCAUUGUGGAAAAUCGUAUGGUGACCUAUAGUUUUCUGUGUCAUUUGGUCUUUUGUGAAGAGUUGUCUCAUUGACAAUCAUACCACACCUUCUUUUUUUAUAUAUCAUCAUAGAUACCAGGAUUGAAAUUUUGUAUUUGCGCUAGACGCGUGUUUUGUCUACAAAAGACUCACCAGUGACGCUUAAAGAAAAGUACAAACCCCAAAUAAAGUACGAAGUUAUAGCGCAUUGAGGACCAAAAAUUCCUAAAAGAUUUGUCAAAUACGGCUAAGGUUAUCUAUUCCUGAGGUAUUCAAACCUUAAAUAUUUAAAAAUAUAAAGUUUUGUAAACCGUUGAUUUACAAUUAUGACCAGAUCAUUGGUAAUUCAUGUCAACAGGAAUAUUGCCGGGUCUACAUUUUCUAAUAGGAAGAAGGGGGAUAUAUUUUCAAAUAAUUGCAUAUUGACGCCCUUCCAGCAUGGUCUUUACUGAAAGACGGGAGAUAUGAAGGAAAACCUUGAGGGGACUUAUGAGAAAUGUAUGUUUUGGAAAUAAUACUAAACAUACAUCAUGUUUGACUAUAAAACUAGGCGUUUUUAGCUACUUUCAUUAGUAAAGUAUAACAGCAGAACAUUAUCACACAAAAGUGUUCUGUUGCUAUAUCCUAUAAAUGAACAGUCUCUUUAACAGUUGCAUUACACCAUGCCGUGCUGAAUGUUCGGAUAAUGAGAAAACGGUCAUCAAAGAAGGGUUCUUUGUCUUCAUUUGCUUCAAUAACAGUGUUGUAAGCCAUAUGAACGACUGAUGGAAAGUUCUAAAUAUGUUUGUACUUUUUUAUGAUUUACUUACUCAAUGGCAAUCAUAC
This 1790-nucleotide long non-coding RNA is filed under the name Mytilus galloprovincialis (Mediterranean mussel). Lineage: Eukaryota; Metazoa; Mollusca; Bivalvia; Mytilida; Mytilidae. The record is from RNAcentral.